This 460-nucleotide ribosomal RNA is filed under the name uncultured bacterium. RNAcentral's name for it is "SSU rRNA". It matches the Rfam family "Bacterial small subunit ribosomal RNA", at positions 26 to 518 of the family's 1533-position model. The record is from RNAcentral.
AGAAUCAACGCUGGCGGCGCGCUUAACACAUGCAAGUCGAGCGAGAAAGGGGAGCAAUCCCUAAGUAAAGCGGCGUACGGGUGAGUAACACGUGGGUGAUCUACCUUUUAGUGGGGGAUAACCCUGGGAAACCGGGGCUAAUACCGCAUAAUCCUGUGAAGGGAAAGCAGCAAUGCGCUGAAUGAGGAGCCCGCGGCCGAUUAGCUAGUUGGUGAGGUAACGGCCCACCAAGGCGACGAUCGGUAGCCGGCCUGAGAGGGCACACGGCCACACUGGCACUGAAACACGGGCCAGACUCCUACGGGAGGCAGCAGUGGGGAAUCUUGCACAAUGGAGGCAACUCUGAUGCAGCGACGCCGCGUGAGCGAUGAAGCCCCUCGGGGUGUAAAGCUCUUUCGGCAGGGACGAUUAUGACGGUACCUGAAGAAGAAGCUGCGGCUAACUACGCGCCAGCAGCCGC